UUUCCUACUUGACAUCUCUGAUCUACGAUAACUUCGUUUCCAUACAAAGAUUCUCUUCAAACAACUUGUCAGUUGAAUUCAAGUACAAGAUGAUUUGUUUCAUGAAAAGAUUCGGAAUGAACAAAAUGGGAAUUUCCAUUGGAGGCUUCUUUUACGUUCAAAAAAAUUUUGUGAUUCGGAUGGCGAGUGCUUUAUACUCAAUUUUCUCUUCUGUAGUGCAAGUAACUGGAGUGAUGAGCAAACACAAAUCGUGUAAUUACAGUUCUGUAUCCAAUAAUUCAUCAUUCGAUAAUAGUAAAUCUGUCUUUUAAUAGUUUUAAAUCGUACACUUUUAUCAAAUUGUUUAAGAAGAAAAAUGGCAAACAAUAGUUCGCAUAAACUUAUUGUGACAUCAUCACUUGGAUUUUUUCACAAUAAUGAAAACACUCUAGAAAAAAACAUAGAAAAAUAAAUAUAAAUUCAAUUCCCUAUUGUCAAUAAAGUAUGUCAUCGUCUUUAUUUUACUUUAAUCAAUACAGAGUAAGUGGUCAGUAAU
Centruroides sculpturatus (bark scorpion) is the source of this 535-nucleotide long non-coding RNA. RefSeq lists it as uncharacterized. Lineage: Eukaryota; Metazoa; Arthropoda; Arachnida; Scorpiones; Buthidae. The transcript has 5 exons. The record is from RefSeq and is a predicted model, not a curated record.